Molecule: transfer RNA, 57 nt
Filed under: Salmo salar (Atlantic salmon)
Lineage: Eukaryota; Metazoa; Chordata; Actinopteri; Salmoniformes; Salmonidae
Rfam family: tRNA
About the family: Transfer RNA (tRNA) molecules are approximately 80 nucleotides in length.
Source: Rfam by way of RNAcentral
GGCUCAGUUGGUAGAGCAUGGUGUUUGCAACGCCAGGGUUGUGAGUUCAAUUCCCAU